Long non-coding RNA from Pollicipes pollicipes, 540 nucleotides. RefSeq lists it as uncharacterized. The transcript has 3 exons. The record is from RefSeq and is a predicted model, not a curated record. NCBI's taxonomy places the organism in Eukaryota, Metazoa, Arthropoda, Thecostraca, Pollicipedomorpha, Pollicipedidae.
UGGAGGAAUAUGCGGGGCGGGUGAAGGCAGGAGCUCGCAUUAGCUAUAUUGCAAGUUAGUCCCGCUCAAGCUUUAUAAAAGUCAUCUCCGUGUCACUGCGUUUAGCAUAGUGCGUUCUUAUGCAUUGCCCUCGCAUAAAAAAUAAGUUAACUGGCGUGAUUUGUGAUGUCUUUCUUCAAGAGAAAGUUCCGAACUCAUUCCCGGAACAGCUCAGUGUCAAGCUCUUCCUCCUGUCCAGUUGAAAGGAGCAUUACCCCACAGCCCAAGUCAGGAGCUGGCUCUCCAGACCCACAAGCCAGCUUUCUGUCAAGUAUCCAGGAGGAAGAAAGGAAAUGGCAAACUAUCACAGACAGCGAGAAGGAGCAUCUGAUCAGCCAGCGUCUGACAAAGACUCUCAGCUGCCUCGUCUCGGACAAGUGCGCACUUGGCUACCUGACAGCCUUCUUGGAGAGCCGUCAGGCGGCCGGCUACCUGCACUUCUGGAUGGAGGCAGAGGCGAUCCGACGCCAGCUGGAACCGGGCGCCAGCGCCGCCGACCGC